CAGCUAUUUUGGGGGUCCUGCGUGAACUAUGACCUGAAGCGGGAGAAACUUAGAAGUGGGUGGCAUGACAGCGUUCGAGAGCCUUCAUGCAAACAGAAGCAGAAACAUGGUUCCAAUUCCACACAUCCGGUAAUCUUUGGUAUCGGGACAGUGGAAUGCAUAGUUGCUGCGAUAAGACGGAGCUGGUUAAGCGUGGCGUCGCUCAAGCCUCCAAGACGACGAUAGCUCAUUGCCGCUGGAGGAGGAUGAGGAAGAAGAUGAGAUGAGUUUUAUUCCUGGGUUGUUCAGGACGUGCGGUGUAGAGAAUGGAGAAAAGAAGGUGAAAAAGCAUUCCAGGAAAAAGGAAGGACGGCUUUUGUAAGAAUGUGGCGUCUGCGCCUCCCUCUUUUUGGCGUGCUGUCUGUGAGCAGCUGUCUCCCAACACUUCUUUGGAUUCUGCUAGGUCAGUCACCAUCCAGGAACUCACCAGCUGAUUGGCUGUCGUCCUCCAUACUAUUUCCUGACCCACCAAUUCCGUCUUUAAAGGUCUGGGAGUCCAUUCUCUUCUCUCUGUGUCAAUCUGGCCAACAUGGAGCCUUUCUGUCCUCUAUCUUCCCACCACUGCUGAGCCAUUCCCGUUCUCCUGCUUGGGAGAGGAACCCCCCGGGGUGGGCCCGCUGUAUGGAGAGGAGCUACUGCUCGUGGAGGCGGGUCUCUGGAGCAAGGACAGUGGCAAGGCGGCGGUGUCGGCAGGCGCGGCCGAGAGGUCGCCGUCUCGUUCCGAGGGGCGCAGAGUGGCAGAAGGCGGCAACGGGAACGCCAGCGGGACUCCGGUCAUGUAGAAUAGCCUGCCGAUGCGUCGGGCCACCUAAUUGGAUGAAAGGUGUAAACCUGACUCAGCAAAUUUGAUGUUGGAAACCUGCUUGGUACAAUUUCAUUUCAACACAGAGAGAGAGAGAGCUUUGUUUUGGGGGCAGGCUAUUUUUAGGGAAUCUAAGCUACACUGUUUUAGGCCUACUGUCAUACACACACUCACACACACACACAGGUCUGCAGGUUGUGUACCUGCGAGCGAAUCUUGAGGGCAGGGCCCAGCUUUAGUCCCAUGGUGGCUAGCAGGUGCUCGUCAGUGAGAAGAGGUAAAGUCUCUCCAUCAAUAGACUGAUCCUGGAACACCUGGCAGAGACACAACCACUUCAGCCACAGUCACACAUGCACACACACACACACGCAGACGCACACAAAACCUACACGUGAACUCAGUCACACAAACAAAAAGAGGUCCUUUUUUCCUAGUUCUUCUGUUUUGAUAAAUCCAGUUCAUAAUGUCCCUGUUAUUAUUUUACCACUGGGAAUAGUAAAUAAUCCCAACUCAAAGCGUUCCAAUGAUGAUUUAUUAUUAGAGGUGCAUUCAAGUUUAGCAAUAUGAAAAGUAAGUAGAUCCCAGUCUUGUUGUACAAUUACUUGAUGGUAUAACGUUUUACUUUUAGAUAUAGUAUACUUUAGCCACUUGCACAGUUCUGGAACAUAGUGUUAUGUGAGGUGCUCCGUCCUGUUUUCUCAUUGUGUUUUUAUUAAAGUUGUAAUAAUUAAGUAAUAACCCACAAGUAUAUGACAUCAUACAAAGUUGAAAAAACUUAAAUCUGAUUCUGAUUUAUAAGCAAUAUUAAUUGAACUAGAAUAAUUACAUUAGACAUAUUCAGAUGCUUGUAUGUCUGUUAAAUCUAAUCAUAUUCACUUGUGUACCAUAUAUAUAUAUAUUUUUUGGUUGUUGUCUUUUUAAUGCAACACAUGUAUCUUAUUUACAAGUUAAAUUCCGUUACAAUUGAAAUUGACAUUUAUUGAAACAUCUUCCAAGUAUCUUGAAAUUAGUCCCAAACUGUAUUAACAUUAUUAUUACUACAUAGCCAUUUUGUGUGUGUGUAUAUAUAUAUAUACAUACAAUCAAGGAGAAAUUGGAAUGAAAAAUAAUAUUUCUCAGCUGGUUGGAUAGGAAAAGUAACGUGGAUCGAAUUAUAGCGUAGCUUGUGGCAUACAUUUGGACUUAUGUGAAAGUUACCACAUAUGAUUCUUUGUACUUUAAAAUAAACUGAACAUACUAAAUUUUCGCACUGAUUUAACUUGUUUUUACACCGUUCUUUACAAGUUAAAUUAUAUUCAUACCUAUCAAUAUUAUAGUACAGUAGUAUGUAUUCUUUAAUAUUGAACUGGGGUGUAAAACACACAACAAAGGAAACGCGUGUACACUUACACACACUUGACACAUACACACACAUCCGGAAUGAUUCAAUGACCACACACACACACACACACAUUUAUCAAACACACUUUCUAAUGCAUCUUCCACACUGAUCCCUGCAGCAGGAAGCUUCUGUACCAUAAUGACCAUAUAAGUUAUCUCACCUGUGCGUAUUCAGCACAUCCGGCCAGGCUGCUUAUGAAGCCGCACACGUCCUCCACGCUCCACUUGCUGAUGUCCUCCACAGGGUUUGCUGAGGCCGCGUCCUCUCCGUCCAUGAAAAGACCUCCCAUAGAGCCUGAGAGCAGCAGCGGGUUGCAAAAACGGUAAAUCAAUACAAAACACAGAGGCUGUAGGUCGACAAUUGUACACAAUAGUAAUAGUCGCAUUGAGAACAGAUGCUUGUUAAGAGUAAAAAAUAAAAGAUACAUUUGGGAUUUGAGUCUAAUGUUGUGUGCAUGGACUGUUUUUAAUAUUGUGACAAUGUCUCUUAGUUUUAUGCAAAAUGUAUUUUUGAAAUUAUGUUAAAACACUAAUAUGCAUCCUUACAGCCUGUUUAUGAGCAGCAAAAAUCAUAAAUGAAAUCGCUCCUUCCUAAUGGGCAUGAACCGGCAUCUAGCUAGAUGAGCCCGUCCUGUGUAGACUUAGACAAACUUUAUUGAUUCACAAGGGAAAUUUUUCAAAAAUAUACCCCCAAAAUCAGACUUCACUGCACAUUUUAGAAUAAAGCGAAGGAUGUUGGUGCUGUAAAUUUGAUCAUGUUGUUUUUCUUCAGUCAGUAGAAUAACCCAGCACAGUGGUUUUCAAACUUUUUCCACCAAGUACCACCACAAAUGACCAACAUUAAAACAGUAGCGUAAUAGGCGUAAAUAUUCAUUAAUAAAAAGGCAGAGGUUUUUUUUUUAAAUAAGUGUAUUUAAUAUUUUUGGCAACUGUAACAUUACACAAAGUUUGAACAGUAACACUGUUCGAAUAUUUAAUCAAGUGAUUCUUUGAUGUACCACCAGGUGGAGCCCGCGUACCACUAUUGGUACACGUACCACAGUUUAAUAAUCCCUGACCAAGCAAGAUGUUACAAUGUGAUUGUAAUGUUAGCACUGUAGCUUGGCUAUGCAAAUGUUGUUAAAGUUUUUGUCCUCCUGUUCCACUCCUAAUGUUACGUUGUUUGUGACAUAUGACAUUUAUUACAUUGGACAAAUGCAGAGUUACAGAGUAUGUGUAAAAAGGAGUUUGUUUUUGUUCAUUAAGUACAGGUUUCUUCAAAUACACAAUAUAUUUUACAAAGCUUGGGUCUUGGGUAGGAAUGACAUUUCUCAUGAGGGUCUUGAGACCCUGACCACCGCGUCCUAUCUGCCAGCGUGGCUAUGCUGUUGGCGUGCUGUAUUUAGGGUCACAUUUGGGUCAGAAGCAGGGCCUCUAACAAAGUGAUGCUAAUGGGUUUCACAUGUUGCCUGUGCGUUUGUCUGAGAGAGAAAGUGUGUGUGUGUGUUUGUGUGUGUGUCAGUCAGAGUGAGAGAGACAGCCGCUCACCCAUGUGGAAGUAAGGGUUGAUGUAGGGGAAUCCAAAGGGCAACGAUUGUCCCUGAAGAGCAGGCAGAGGUGGCAUGAAUCCAGGUGGAAGCUGGAAUUUGACAUCCGACUUUCCCAGUCCAGACGAGAAGAGGUGGUGACUGGGCGAGUCGGUGCCGGCAGAGCUACAAGGUGCACUCAGCCGGCCUGAGUGGUCUCGGGUCUCCUUGGCGCCGUCAAACUCUCCCUUGCCGUUUCUCUCCUUGCUUCCCCCGUCUCUCCUCCUGUGUCUGUGUUUCCUCCUGGACUUGGCACCAGCGCUCUCCUGCCUCUCGUCACACGUUUCCGUUUCACUGUCCGACUCCCUGGCGUCGUCCUCAUCUUCCCUGUCUCCUUCGCUUCCUCUGUCCUCCCGCCUUCGUUUGUGAUCCACAGCGCGGAGCUCGGUGUGAGGGCCCCGACGGGGGGCUUUCCUGGAUUCAGUGUCUGAGCUGGCCGUGGAGCUCUGCGCUUGGGUGUCUUUGUGGGUGGACGAUGUCCUUGCUUGUUGCUGAUGCUGGUUGAGGCUCAGGAGGGGUGCUGCCGCCCCAUGGCGGAGCACUAGCAUGGCGUUAGAGCGACGGGCCAGUUCCUCUCGGAGCGGAUGGCCCUCGGGGAUGUCGUGAAGGCUCCUCAGGGCCGGGUGGUCCGCUGGUAGCCCGGCGGAUAGAGCGAUCAGCGGGUCAGAGGUCAGCAAUUGUUGCUGCUGUCGCUGGUGGAGACUUUCCAACUCUUUCUGUCUCAGUAGCUCGGCCGACAUCUCAAGUCUGAGGCACACAAACACACUCUGUCGUGUCAACUUCACACGUUCUACAACACAUAACACAAACACAUGAACGUUCUAAACGUUAACACACACCUGGCCAGAUUCUGCUUCCUCAACAUUUCUUGUUGCCGCACAAAGAUUUCAGCUUGAGCUGGUUGGAGGAAACCAUAACCUGGUAUAGAAAAUACAAAAAGCUUUAAAAACAGAAAUGGGUCAUACUUAUUUUUUAACUGUGGUAAAUGACAUAAGCAUAAUAAUACAGUGGUAGCUCGGCUCACGAGCAGGUGCUUUAAGUUUGAAAAUUUGAGUUAUGAGCCUCUAUUCUGCUUGUUGGCGUAGCAAAUUGUUAAAAUGAACCCCGUAAGAUCCGCCCCAAAAUCUGGUUUUACUUGCUAGCAUCAGCUUAUAGCUAGAGAUGGACUUAACUUUGUUUUUCAACCAUGGGAAUGAAGAAAGUGAGUGUAAAAAGAGGAGAAGGAGCGGAUGAUAUUCAUUGAAUUAAAGACAUAAACCACCAAAAACAUGACCAACAGUGCAGCCAACAUAGCGAGUGUAGCACUGCUAGUCUGCAGCAGGAGGAGUCAUAAGGCCAGCUAUGGGAGUAAAAAUAAAAUCUAUUCAGCUGAUAUUUAUCCAAGAAAAUAUGGAAAAGCUGCAGAUGGUGAGUUUUAACGGAGAAACAGCUUGAAGCAGAUACCGUAGAAAUCUACUUUCCAAGGUAAAUGCUGUACAUUAUUAUUACAUCUUAAAACUACUGUAGAAGUGCAUUGUACAAGUACAUUCUAUUGGUUUUUUUUCUCGUACAAUAUUUCCUAUCUGUUUUUUCUUUUUUAAAAGCAUGUUACAAACAGAUUAAAUUGAUUUGAAUUCCUUUCCUUGACAUUGAUUUGAAAUACAAGCGUUUCGAGUUACAAGCUUGGUCAUUGAACCAAAUAAGUUGAAGUACUACUGUAUACACCGACAGGACCACAAUAUUAGAUACACGCUGUCACAAAAAAACUUGAGUAGGAUCUGAUAAUCAUUUUGGAAUAAUCACAAAUAAGGAAGCAACAGCACACCAACGUUUGUAUCACAACGAUAUAUCCUACUCAAAAGUCCCUCAAAGUCACACGUGGUUAGUGUCAGUUUGAAGUAAAUAUGCUUUACUGACGACCGCCGCUACCACACUUCAUUAGCCGUCUUCAGAGUGAUCCAGCAAUCCGCAGGUUAAUAUCAACCCACUCAAAAAAGUGAAACAUUUAAGUAGUAUAAUAAGCAAGAUAGCAUCAACAGACAAGUCACUAUAGUUGCGUGGCAUCAAAACACACCACACUUAAAUGCACACCCACAUAACAUGCUAAUUGAUUGUAUUGAUUUGUAUUAUACAUUUCAUAUAAUAUAUCAUGUAAAAGGUCUAUGCAUUGCACAUGAAUAUCAUACACAAUUAUUAUUUCCAGCUAAGUGUAAUUGUAAUGAAUAGAAACUGAUGUAUCUGUGUGGUCUUGCAUUGCACCUUGCACUGUAAAAUAGUUGACUUGUUUAAGAGUUGAUAAAAGACUUCCCUGCUGUAAGAUGUUACAUGAUGUUGGUGGUGUGUAACCUCUUGUGCUAAUAAAAAUUCUAAUUAAAAAACAUCUUUAUUUACACCAAUUACAUAUUGUAUCGAUAAGAGUAUCGGUCUCACCAAUAAACAUAUAUAUUGGUAUCGGUAUCAAUAAAAUCCGAACGAUAUACAUCCCUACUAUAAACAUUGCUGUACAGCUAGAAAAUGCUUUAUGAUGGCGAGAUUGUGACAUUCAUCCUGCAAUGCAUUGUGGUCAACCUAAUCUCAGGUGCAUCAAAUUCCUGUAAACAAAUGUAUUUAAUCUGAUCAUAAUUGGGAUUAGAAUGUUACUGUGUACAUGGACGCUGAAAAAAUUAUUCGAUUAUGAAGUACGUUAUCAAGUAUCACACUUUAAAUUGGAAUACAUUAUUUUGACAUGCGUAAACGGAAGUAGAAGAAGAAAAAGCAGUGACUUCCGCUGUAAACAAACACGAAUCUGUGCAUUUCUGCGUGUAUGAUGUUGACAUGUUAUUUAUUUAUAAUUUUUUCCUUCUGUUCGCUACUUUUGUUUUACCUCUCUUUUUGAAACAAAGCUGUUCUGUGCACUCCAUGUUGUGAUAUGUACGGGUUGUCGUAGUAUCUGU
This is a long non-coding RNA of Entelurus aequoreus (snake pipefish), 6698 nucleotides long. RefSeq lists it as uncharacterized. The record is from RefSeq and is a predicted model, not a curated record. Lineage: Eukaryota; Metazoa; Chordata; Actinopteri; Syngnathiformes; Syngnathidae. The transcript has 3 exons.